RNAcentral lists this ribosomal RNA (475 nucleotides) under uncultured organism. RNAcentral's name for it is "partial 16S ribosomal RNA". It matches the Rfam family "Bacterial small subunit ribosomal RNA", at positions 335 to 801 of the family's 1533-position model. The record is from RNAcentral.
ACUCCUACGGGAGGCAGCAGUGGGGAAUUUUGGACAAUGGGCGAAAGCCUGAUCCAGCAAUGCCGCGUGUGUGAAGAAGGCCUUCGGGUUGUAAAGCACUUUUGUCCGGAAAGAAAUCCUUGGCUCUAAUACAGUCGGGGGAUGACGGUACCGGAAGAAUAAGCACCGGCUAACUACGUGCCAGCAGCCGCGGUAAUACGUAGGGUGCGAGCGUUAAUCGGAAUUACUGGGCGUAAAGCGUGCGCAGGCGGUUUGCUAAGACCGAUGUGAAAUCCCCGGGCUCAACCUGGGAACUGCAUUGGUGACUGGCAGGCUAGAGUAUGGCAGAGGGGGGUAGAAUUCCACGUGUAGCAGUGAAAUGCGUAGAGAUGUGGAGGAAUACCGAUGGCGAAGGCAGCCCCCUGGGCCAAUACUGACGCUCAUGCACGAAAGCGUGGGGAGCAAACAGGAUUAGAAACCCUGGUAGUCCCAUGAU